CAGUCGCCGCGGGAAUACAGAGGGUGCGAGCGUUAAUCGGAUUUACUGGGCGUAAAGCGUGCGUAGGCGGCUUCUUAAGUCGGAUGUGAAAUCCCUGAGCUUAACUUAGGAAUUGCAUUCGAUACUGGGAAGCUAGAGUAUGGGAGAGGAUGGUAGAAUUCCAGGUGUAGCGGUGAAAUGCGUAGAGAUCUGGAGGAAUACCGAUGGCGAAGGCAGCCAUCUGGCCUAAUACUGACGCUGAGGUACGAAAGCAUGGGGAGCAAACAGGAUUAGAUACCCCUGUAGUCCCUGUCUCUAUACA
Molecule: ribosomal RNA, 301 nt
Filed under: uncultured bacterium
Lineage: Bacteria
Description: partial 16S ribosomal RNA
Rfam family: Bacterial small subunit ribosomal RNA
Source: RNAcentral